Long non-coding RNA from Bradysia coprophila, 135 nucleotides. The record is from RefSeq and is a predicted model, not a curated record. NCBI's taxonomy places the organism in Eukaryota, Metazoa, Arthropoda, Insecta, Diptera, Sciaridae.
CCCCAUGCGAAAAAAAGGAGAGAAAAUAAAAAUUUUCUCACCUGAAUUGAGAUAGAGAGAGCGUCAACAAAAUGCCAUCUUCUCACUGUAUUUGUGUGGAGAAAAUCAGGUUAUUCACGCCGCACGGGUGAAAAA